This 182-nucleotide long non-coding RNA is filed under the name Oryzias sinensis (Chinese medaka). Its description in RNAcentral is "lncRNA (ENSOSIG00000020688.1)". Lineage: Eukaryota; Metazoa; Chordata; Actinopteri; Beloniformes; Adrianichthyidae. The record is from RNAcentral.
UCGGGUGCACUGAGGAAUGUGUGGGUGACUCAACGUCUGCAACGGGUGAGAAACAAGGCCAAAAGCAGACCUUUCCAACACUGUGACUGACAGCUGGUUGCAGCCUCACAGCAUCACUAAAAGUGCCUCUACAACUUCAUUUCCUGCUAGGCCCCAGCUCUGACUCUCCUUCAUCUGACCUU